Molecule: non-coding RNA, 204 nt
Organism: Oryza barthii
Lineage: Eukaryota; Viridiplantae; Streptophyta; Magnoliopsida; Poales; Poaceae
Source: Rfam
UUUAAGUGCAACCAUAAGUUUUCGUGUCCAAUUUUAAUCGUCCGUAUUAUUUAAAAUUUUUUAUAAUUAGUAUUUUAUUGUUAUGAGAUGAUAAAACAUGAAUAAUAUUUUAUGCAUGACUUAUGUUUUUAAAUUUUUUCAAAGAAAAUCUCAAAUAAGACAGAUAAUCAAAGUUGGGUACGGAAAAUCAUGGUUGUAGUUAAA